GACGAACGCUGGCGGCGUGCUUAACACAUGCAAGUCGAGCGGAAAGGCCCUUUCGGGGGUACUCGAGCGGCGAACGGGUGAGUAACACGUGAGUAAUCUGCCCUUGGCUUUGGGAUAACCACCGGAAACGGUGGCUAAUACCGGAUAUGACGGGCUCCGGCAUCGGGGUUCGUGGAAAGUUUUUCGGCCAGGGAUGUGCUCGCGGCCUAUCAGCUUGUUGGUGGGGUAAUGGCCUACCAAGGCUUCGACGGGUAGCCGGCCUGAGAGGGUGACCGGCCACACUGGGACUGAGACACGGCCCAGACUCCUACGGGAGGCAGCAGUGGGGGAUAUUGGACAAUGGGCGGAAGCCUGAUCCAGCAACGCCGCGUGAGGGAUGACGGCC
This 385-nucleotide ribosomal RNA is filed under the name uncultured bacterium. Its description in RNAcentral is "bacterial SSU rRNA". It matches the Rfam family "Bacterial small subunit ribosomal RNA", at positions 28 to 416 of the family's 1533-position model. The record is from RNAcentral.